This 262-nucleotide small RNA is filed under the name Microtus ochrogaster (prairie vole). RNAcentral's name for it is "Metazoan signal recognition particle RNA (ENSMOCG00000006124.1)". Lineage: Eukaryota; Metazoa; Chordata; Mammalia; Rodentia; Cricetidae. The record is from RNAcentral.
GCCAGGUAUAGUGGUGCAUGCCUGCAAUCCCAGCUACUUGGGAGGCUGAGGCAAGAGGAUCACUUGAGUCCAAAAGUUCUAGGCUGCAGCGCAUUCCAUUGAUCAAGUGUUUGGCAUCCCUAUAGUGACCUCCUGGGAGUGGGAGACCGCCAGCUUUUCUAAAGAGGUUGUAAACUAGCCCAGGUCAGAAAUGGAGCAGGUCAAAAUAGCUAAAAGAGAAGAUUUUGAAUGUUUUAACUAGAAAAAAAGUCAAAUGUCUGAU